This 516-nucleotide ribosomal RNA is filed under the name uncultured bacterium. Its description in RNAcentral is "bacterial SSU rRNA". It matches the Rfam family "Bacterial small subunit ribosomal RNA", at positions 28 to 504 of the family's 1533-position model. The record is from RNAcentral.
GACGAACGCUGGCGGCGUGCCUAAUACAUGCAAGUCGAGCGAGCUUGCCUAGAUGAUUUUAGUGCUUGCACUAAAUGAAACUAGAUACAAGCGAGCGGCGGGCGGGUGAGUAACACGUGGGUAACCUGCCCAAGAGACUGGGAUAACACCUGGAAACAGAUGCUAAUACCGGAUAACAACACUAGACGCAUGUCUAGAGUUUGAAAGAUGGUUCUGCUAUCACUCUUGGAUGGACCUGCGGUGCAUUAGCUAGUUGGUAAGGUAACGGCUUACCAAGGCAAUGAUGCAUAGCCGAGUUGAGAGACUGAUCGGCCACAUUGGGACUGAGACACGGCCCAAACUCCUACGGGAGGCAGCAGUAGGGAAUCUUCCACAAUGGACGAAAGUCUGAUGGAGCAACGCCGCGUGAGUGAAGAAGGGUUUCGGGUCGUAAAGUUCUGUUGCGAAGGAAGAACGCCGGAGGGAGGAAAUGACCUCCGGGUGACGGUACUUCGCGAGAAAGCCACGGCUAACUAC